CAGCGAGGAAACGGUGAAACCACAUCGACUUCCCCCGACAGCUCAUUCAUUCCUCCCCUACCCACACCCACACCACAUCGGCGCCGCCCCAUCUCCCUCCAUCGGACCUCGCCGCCGCCCCCUCCCCUCGAGCGAGGAGGUCAGGUGUCGUCCCCAGAUCCGUCAAGGGAUUCGAAUUGGAGCUCUCCAUCGCUCGCGCCCCGGACGGAACAUCCGUCUGCUCUUGCUCGCCGGCGACGCCAUGGAGAUGGAGGUUCCUCCGUGCGUUUCUGCUUGCUCGGACUCGGGACGCCGCUGCUCGUCAAGCCAGCGGCGGCCAUCCACGACGGAGUACAGUACAGGACGUCCUCCUCGACGCAGCCGUCCCUUCUUUGCCAGCCCCCUGCCCCCUCUCCGGCGAUGUGGACUGAUGAUGACUGCUUCCUCCUCCCCUCCUCAACCCCCAGAUCUGGACCUUCUGGACGUGGAUGUGAUAAGUAACGAAUUCACCGGUGCUGAUGCUUCUUCAGUUGAGGCAGUCUGGUCUCUGGCUGCUACUGGAACGAGAUGUGUGAUGGCUAAUAUCAAUCAGCUCUUCAAGACAGCGUGCGUACCAGGAGGGCAAAAAUGCAAGGGUGACUGCUUGGAGUGGUUUUGAUAUGGCUUCUCCCUUAACUUAUGCGCGCGCUGGUGCUUUGUGUGCUUCCUUCUUCCCUUCCCGGGACGUCGCUCUCCCGCUGCUCUGACGCCAUAGACUUACAAAUCCAAAAUUUUUGGAUCAGGGCAGUUGCUUGACAUUUUGUUAUACAUGCAACUGAGCCGGUCAGUUGGCGGCUCCCAGAUCUAUCCCGCAUGGUCGCCAUGAUGAUGACGACCUCCCGUCCACAUAUUUGUGCUCGUUCGACGACGCGACCGUCUCUUCCUCACCUCACCUCAGGCUAGCGGCGUCCAAAUCAAGUGCAUUCGUCAAUGGCCUCGACAGAGAUGCAGUCUGAUUGCUCUGUCAUGCCGUCGUGAAGGCUCCUUCUCCACAACCACACACGGAAGCCAUGGAAGCCGCAUGUGCUUCUUCUCCAUGGGGGUCAGUAGCUGCCGCCAUGGAAGCAAGUCCUAGAGCUCGUUAAGAGCAUCUUGUCAUCAGCGACCUACCUCCACUGGGACCUGACUGCCAUCCGACAACACGUGAGCCAUAUCGGACGUUGGGACCUCCAGGUCCGCCUACAUGGGUUGCGGACCCGGCGUAAAUCACAUCUACUCUCCCCGGAGGUCUCUCCUCCUCUGACGCCUCCGAUGAAUGCUUCUUCUCUGACCACGGCCAUGAAGAUAGACAUGAUUUCUGAUUUCUGCCAUUGAAGUCCUUAGUGGGCAGACCACUAGGGAGCUUGUUGAGAUGUUCAAGGAGUGAGAGAGCUUCAUCUUGCAGUGCAAAGCACAGGAUGGAGGUCCAGAGCAGGUACCUAUAGGCUACAAAGCAUGGACACGGCUGGAAGUGCCGAACUGCCGUUCUGAUACGGCAGGAUACGGGGAUACGCCAGGAUACGCCGGGAUACGCGAACUUUGCAGUAUCCCCCGAAUUUCGAUUUUAAAAAAGGAAAAAAACACAGGGAUACGUUUGGGACACGUGCGGGAUACGUUUGGGACACGGCCUGGCCCAAAACAGCCUCGGCCCAACCCAGUAUACCUAACCUAUUUGCAGGAACUCCCGCACGCUCUCGUCUCAAGGACGAGGUGCUCCCUCCCAGCCUCCCCGCGCCGCCAGCCUCCUGGAUCGAAGCCGCCUCCGCCUUGACUCGUCGCCGACGCCUGGAUUCGACCGGCGAUAGCUGGUGCUACCCCCAGCCUCGCAGGUAACCAAGCAGCCUCUCCCCUCUCCCCUUUCCUCGACCUCUUCCUCUUUUAUCCUUCAGAUUUGCUUGUGCUGCUGGAUGUUGCUUGCUGGCUUGAUGCUUGCUUGUGCUGCCGCUUAUGCUGGUGGUGCUGCUGCUCAUGCUUGUGCUGCUGCUGCUCAUGCUUGCAUUGUCUUCCAAUUAUGUCUUGUCUUCUAAUCUUCUGUACUGUCUGUGUUUGAUGUGUUUUGCAAGAUAGAUGCAGCUUGCAAUGACAACAUGACAUGGGGGGAUGAGGACCAAUCAAUCAUCACUUGAUAAAAGAGACACCAAAUGGGGCAUUACCCUCUAUUAUGAUCUCUUUCUCAUUAAUUUUCUGUCUUAAUUGUAUAUUAUAUGGCAUAUUUUUAUUUUAUUUUAUAUAUACUCGCCGUAUCCCCGAAUGGCUGUUUUUGAAAAAUGCCGUAUCCCGUAUCCCCGUAUGCGUAUCCCCGUCUUUCCGUCCCCGUGUCCGUGCUUUUUAGCCUAUAGGUGCAAUUGGUUACAUCAGGCGGCGCCACCACCCCCAUGGAGGUGGUGCGGCGCCUCUGCUCCAGUGACCACUUCUUACAUAGGAAACCAGUGUCGUUAAUCUGCUAAGCAUAUGAUUCCAGAGCAUCUUGUCACCAGCGACCUACCUCCAUUGGGACUUAACUGCCAGCCGACAACACGUGAACCAUACCGUACAUCGUCGGGACCUUCAUGUCUGGCUAUAUGGGUUGCGCUCAACUUUCCUAUAGGCCGCAUCGGAGCUGGGACCCGACGCAAAUCGCACCUACCCUCCCUCCUCUAACGCCUCCGGUGAACGCUUCUUCUCUGACCUACGGCCUAGACGGAUGGAACAUUUGGGCUUAAGAUCUUGCUGCAUCUCUCAACACUCUUCAAUCUCUUGAGCACUCUUCAGUCUGUUGAGGCUUUUGUUGCCAAGGGAAAACAGAAAAGCAAGGACAGUGACAUACUCCAAUGUGUUGUGAUAUGCAUGGCAGUGACGGUUUUGCGCAUUGAGAUUGAUGGUGCAUGAUGAUGCCGCAAGGUGCCGAGGAGAGAAGCACCUCCUAGAUCCGAGAUUUGCAAGCACCAGAUGGAAUGGCAAGUCAAGCUGGCCGGACGUGUUAGUGUGUGCAUUGUUUGUUGUCUGGUUGGUUUCUUGCAAAGUGCUAAUUGUUGAUAUGGUGAUGAUAUUAUUGUGUGUAAUUACAUAAAACAAAAUGUCUUGGCUAAUGCCUGUUGCUCUCUUGGUCAGUCGGUUGGCUGGUUGUGUUGCCAACGGUUGGGCCUCAUGAAGUAGCUAAACUAGUGUUGAAGGAAAUUGAACUAUCCUUGUUUUAUGUAUGUGUUGUCCCCAUUGAAUCAAUGCAAUGCAAAAAGUUUGAACAGC
Triticum dicoccoides is the source of this 3222-nucleotide long non-coding RNA. RefSeq lists it as uncharacterized. The transcript has 14 exons. Lineage: Eukaryota; Viridiplantae; Streptophyta; Magnoliopsida; Poales; Poaceae. The record is from RefSeq and is a predicted model, not a curated record.